Molecule: long non-coding RNA, 1381 nt
Filed under: Homo sapiens (human)
Lineage: Eukaryota; Metazoa; Chordata; Mammalia; Primates; Hominidae
Description: non-protein coding lnc-C20orf203-2:1
Source: RNAcentral
GGGCUCUGUCUGACCCUCCAAACCCCAGAGCCUGGAGGCAGGGGCACGGGAGGACCCCCGGGAGUGAAGGCAGCAGGGGUGCCCUAGCUCUCCACCCACCCCUGGCUCAUGGUGCCCUCUCGCCUUUAGUGAGGGCACCCCACGUAAGCUUUCUAGACCUCAAGGCUGCCCUCCCACCUGGCCAGACCCAGCCUUGUGGGAGACGGAUGCCCCUGCUGCCUCUCGUCCAUGCUCUUCCCCUCCGAUUUCAACUGCAGCUGCAGGCCUGGCCUGGGCGGGCUGCUGGGCUAGCAGACGGGAGUCGUGGGGAGUGGGGAGACGGCAGAGCAGGUGGGAGGCUGGGCCCAUCCUCUCACCCACGUGGUUGUGGAUCCCGGAGCACUAGUCCUCUUGGCCACCCUGGACAUGGAGCUCCUCCCCUGCAGAUGGGGAAACUAAGGCAGAGUGGAGGGAACUCACUCAAGGUCCCAAUGAGCUCCAGAGCUGAGUGUGAGCCACUGGUUCCCAAGCCCAGGUCAUUCAUUUAUUCACUUCCUCGCUGCCCUUCCUGUACAGCAGCUGCAGCCUUAAUGUUUAACUCGUGGGAUUGUCAUUGUCAUGAGGAUGUGAAGAGGGGUCUCCCCGGGCAACAGGGGCUCUUGACUGGGCAGAGCCACUGUAGGGACAUCCAGAAGGCGGUAUGGCCAAGGACAGUCCUGCAUUUGGAUCCCAACUCUGGCAACAGCUGUGUGGUUCUGGGCAAAUGGCUUGCCUGCUUUGAUCCCUGACCCCUUCUGUAUAAGGGGGUGAUAAAACCCGUACCCCAAGGGGUAGCUGGGAAGAUGGCAUAAAACCAAGCCUGCCCGGUGGGCCACAGCAUAGGGGCUGCUGCUCCAUCUUGGGGUCUCUCAGAGCAAAGAUCCCAAAGCCAGGCAGCUGUGAAGCUCCCAAGGGUGGCUCCGAGGCUCUCUGUGGGGUGAUAGGGAAGCCUGGGCUGAGGGGAGAGAAGAAGGGAGGCAGCUCAGAGGGCUCAGGCUGGGAGGCUCCAUGGAGGAUGGAUGUUCUCUGGAGGUUGAGGUUGAGACAGGAGCAGGCUAGGGGUGAAAGGCUUUAUGUUGAUUCGAGGCCCCUGCAGGUCAGCAGAGCAGUGGGGGUCUGGAGCCAGGGGCUGGGUCCAGGUUCUGCCGCUUACUGCUGUGCAGUCUUGGGUAAGUUACUUCCCCUCUCUGAGCCUCAGUUUCCUCAUCUGUAAAAUGGGAUGACAAUAGCUAUGGAUUCAGUUAUAUCCUCCUUCUAUGCUAUUGUAUAGAAGUAUCUAUACCAAGGUGUGGACAGUCAAGCCCUCAAUGAAAGGAAGCUGUGAUCGGGAUUGUGACUGAGAUGGAAUCAGUAACCCUAGAAG